AGAGGUCAGCCUGCCCAGUGACUAAGUUAAACGGCCGCGGUACCCUAACCGUGCAAAGGUAGCGCAAUCACUUGUUCUUUAAAUGAGGACUAGUAUGAACGGCAUCACGAGGGUUAUGCUGUCUCCCUACUCUACUCAGUGAAACUGAUCCCCCCGUGAAGAAGCGGGGAUAAAGAUAUAAGACGAGAAGACCCCAUGGAGCUUUAAACUCAGUACCAACUGCCCUAAUAAUAACCUAUUACCUUUGCAGCCAUGGUUACUAGUUUUCGGUUGGGGUGACCACGGAGUAAAAUUUAACCUCCACGAUGAAAGGAACUAAUAUCCUAACCUAUGAGCUACAGCUCUAAGUAUCAACAAAUUGACUAAUUGACCCAAUUACUUGAUCAACGAACCAAGUUACCCUGGGGAUAACAGCGCAAUCCAUUUCAAGAGCUCAUAUCGACAAAUGGGUUUACGACCUCGAUGUUGGAUCAGGGUAUCCCAGUGGCGCAGCCGCUACUAAUGGUUCGUUUGUUCAACGAUUAAAACCCUACGUGAUCUGAGUUCAGCCCGG
RNAcentral lists this ribosomal RNA (553 nucleotides) under Microhyla ornata (ornate rice frog). Its description in RNAcentral is "partial 16S ribosomal RNA". It matches the Rfam family "Bacterial large subunit ribosomal RNA", at positions 1849 to 2619 of the family's 2925-position model. Lineage: Eukaryota; Metazoa; Chordata; Amphibia; Anura; Microhylidae. The record is from RNAcentral.